RNAcentral lists this ribosomal RNA (468 nucleotides) under uncultured bacterium. RNAcentral describes it as "partial 16S ribosomal RNA". It matches the Rfam family "Bacterial small subunit ribosomal RNA", at positions 29 to 507 of the family's 1533-position model. The record is from RNAcentral.
ACGAACGCUGGCGGCGUGCUUCACCCAUGCAAGUCGCACGGUGAAGCGAGUGCUUGCACUCGUGGAUCAGUGGCGAACGGGUGAGUAACACGUGAGUAACCUGCCCAUCACUCUGGGAUAAGCACUGGAAACGGUGUCUAAUACUGGAUACGACCAACCCUUGCAUGGGGUGUUGGUGGAAAGAUUUAUCGGUGAUGGAUGGACUCGCGGCCUAUCAGCUUGUUGGCGGGGUAAUGGCCCACCAAGGCGACGACGGGUAGCCGGCCUGAGAGGGUGACCGGCCACACUGGGACUGAGACACGGCCCAGACUCCUACGGGAGGCAGCAGUGGGGAAUAUUGCACAAUGGGCGAAAGCCUGAUGCAGCGACGCCGCGUGAGGGAUGACGGCCUUCGGGUUGUAAACCUCUUUCAGCAGGGAAGAAGCGAAAGUGACGGUACCUGCAGAAGAAGCACCGGCUAACUACGUG